UGGGGAAUAUUGCNCAAUGGGGGAAACCCUGAUGCAGCGACGCCGCGUGAGUGAAGAAGUAUUUCGGUAUGUAAAGCUCUAUCAGCAGGGAAGAAAAUGACGGUACCUGACUAAGAAGCCCMGGCUAACUACGUG
RNAcentral lists this ribosomal RNA (135 nucleotides) under uncultured bacterium. RNAcentral's name for it is "partial 16S rRNA". It matches the Rfam family "Bacterial small subunit ribosomal RNA", at positions 355 to 507 of the family's 1533-position model. The record is from RNAcentral.